GGAAGGAAAGAAAGAAAAAGAGAAAAAAAAGAAAGAAAGAAAGAAAGAAAGAAAGAAAGAAAGAAAGAAAGAAAGAGAAAAAAGAAACCCCAUGGUUUAGCAAUUACCUGAGAGCCCCAGGAAGUAAAGGACUAAAUGAAUAGGGCUCACAUCCAUUUCAGAGAAGCUGCUUUUAUUUUGUUUUAUAUGUUAGAGUUUCAUCUAAGAUUUCAUUUGGACUAAAAAUGGUUUCUGGGGCUAAAUAAUGUAUAAUUUUUGAAAACAAUUGUAAAUGAAAAUUUAUUCUCUGUUUAUCUUGCUUUCUUAAACUGAUUUCUUUUUGUAAAUAUUCUAAGCACAUUCGUGUACCAUCAAGUUUAUAAGCCUGGAAAUAGAGAUUUAAAAGUCAACAGUGUAUAGUCGAAACCAUGGAACAUCAGUUAGAUUGCCCAGCAGUAAUCUGUGUGAGUGUAACAUGAGAAGAGAAACAGGCCGACGAGUAAGCAGAAGAGAAGUCUGGACAGAAAGAAGGAGUUGUCAGUGAGGUGGGAGAAUACAACUUCCGUAAUGUUACAGAAGCAAAGGGUGUCGAAUGCUGGAGAUGUCACAUAGCAUGAGGACAAAAAAGAAUCCACCAGACUUGGCCAUAAGGAGAAAUGUUAUGUAGAAUCUGGGCUGCAAGCUCUGCAUGGAGAUAAGAGAAGUGAGAUGUAAAUAGACUUGUGGACCUUACUUUACACAGUAUUCCCGGACCAAGGCCAGAAACUUAGUGUCCUGAAGAAUCUCUCCCCUGGAUUUGUCUAAUGGUUUCCUGUGAUGUUAUUUCCUUGUUUCCCUAUCCCCUGCAUUUCCUGUAAGUUAGACCUAAAAGUUUGGUUAGACAUAGGCUAAACAUUUUUUUUAAUAAAGAUUUUUUUAUUUAUUCAUUUGAGAGAGAGAGAGAAACAGAGCACAAGCAGGCAGAGAGGCAGAGGGAGAGGGAGAAGCAGAUUCCCCG
Long non-coding RNA from Ailuropoda melanoleuca (giant panda), 976 nucleotides. RefSeq lists it as uncharacterized. The record is from RefSeq and is a predicted model, not a curated record. Lineage: Eukaryota; Metazoa; Chordata; Mammalia; Carnivora; Ursidae. The transcript has 3 exons.